This 636-nucleotide unclassified non-coding RNA is filed under the name Aspergillus flavus. RNAcentral describes it as "sequence contains ITS1, 5.8S rRNA gene and ITS2". The stretch from base 188 to 341 matches the Rfam family "5.8S ribosomal RNA". Lineage: Eukaryota; Fungi; Ascomycota; Eurotiomycetes; Eurotiales; Aspergillaceae. The record is from RNAcentral.
GGGAUAAAAAAUGUAGGGAUCCUAGCGAGCCCACCUCCCACCCGUGUUUACUGUACCUUAGUUGCUUCGGCGGGCCCGCCAUUCAUGGCCGCCGGGGGCUCUCAGCCCCGGGCCCGCGCCCGCCGGAGACACCACGAACUCUGUCUGAUCUAGUGAAGUCUGAGUUGAUUGUAUCGCAAUCAGUUAAAACUUUCAACAAUGGAUCUCUUGGUUCCGGCAUCGAUGAAGAACGCAGCGAAAUGCGAUAACUAGUGUGAAUUGCAGAAUUCCGUGAAUCAUCGAGUCUUUGAACGCACAUUGCGCCCCCUGGUAUUCCGGGGGGCAUGCCUGUCCGAGCGUCAUUGCUGCCCAUCAAGCACGGCUUGUGUGUUGGGUCGUCGUCCCCUCUCCGGGGGGGACGGGCCCCAAAGGCAGCGGCGGCACCGCGUCCGAUCCUCGAGCGUAUGGGGCUUUGUCACCCGCUCUGUAGGCCCGGCCGGCGCUUGCCGAACGCAAAUCAAUCUUUUUCCAGGUUGACCUCGGAUCAGGUAGGGAUACCCGCUGAACUUAAGCAUAUCAAUAAGCGGAGGAAAAAAAAAAAAAAAAAAAAAAAAUAUUAUUUAUUUUUUUUAUUUAUCUUAGGUUUUUUAUAAAAUU